UACGGGGGGGGCAAGCGUUGUUCGGAAUUACUGGGCGUAAAGGGCUCGUAGGCGGCCAACUAAGUCAGACGUGAAAUCCCUCGGCUUAACCGGGGAACUGCAUCUGAUACUGGAUGGCUUGAGUUUGGGAGAGGGAUGCGGAAUUCCAGGUGUAGCGGUGAAAUGCGUAGAUAUCUGGAGGAACACCGGUGGCGAAGGCGGCAUCCUGGACCAACACUGACGCUGAUGAGCGAAAGCCAGGGGAGCAAACGGG
Molecule: ribosomal RNA, 253 nt
Filed under: uncultured bacterium
Lineage: Bacteria
Description: partial 16S ribosomal RNA
Rfam family: Bacterial small subunit ribosomal RNA
Source: RNAcentral